ACAAAUUCGAUGAACAGAACAGGGUUUUCUUAAUUGGAACGCAUUGCAGAGAGCUGUCGGCAGGUGUGAGACAGUAUGCAGAUAAGAGAGCUAUCCUCUGUGAGAAGUGCACUGAAAUGGCAGAGCGAUUUGCGACGGUAGGUGUCACCGGGAUUCUCCCGUUAUAGAGAAGCUUAUUGAGGGGCUAUCAUUGACUGAUGCGCCGGGAGAUAAGGCAGAGAGGUCGCGUGAAGCGGCAAAUAAAGUGGUACCGCGGAAGAAUAUCAGCUUUCGUCUUUAAA
Molecule: non-coding RNA, 281 nt
Filed under: Clostridium sp.
Lineage: Bacteria; Bacillati; Bacillota; Clostridia; Eubacteriales; Clostridiaceae
Description: T-box sequence
Rfam family: T-box leader
About the family: Uncharged tRNA acts as the effector for transcription antitermination of genes in the T-box leader family. T-boxes are found upstream of many aminoacyl-tRNA synthetase genes and some amino acid biosynthetic genes usually in Gram-positive bacteria.
Source: RNAcentral